UGGGGAAUAUUGGACAAUGGGCGAAAGCCUGAUCCAGCAACGCCGCGUGAGGGAUGACGGCCUUCGGGUUGGUAAACCUCUUUCAGCAGGGACGAAGCGCAAGUGACGGUACCUGCAGAAGAAGCACCGGCCAACUACGUGCCAGCAGCCGCGGUAAUACGUAGGGUGCGAGCGUUGUCCGGAAUUAUUGGGCGUAAAGGGCUCGUAGGCGGUUUGUCGCGUCGGGAGUGAAAACUCAGGGCUUAACCCUGAGCCUGCUUCCGAUACGGGCAGACUAGAGGUAUGCAGGGGAGAACGGAAUUCCUGGUGUAGCGGUGAAAUGCGCAGAUAUCAGGAGGAACACCGGUGGCGAAGGCGGUUCUCUGGGCAUUACCUGACGCUGAGGAGCGAAAGUGUGGGGAGCGAACAGGAUUAGAUACCCUGGUAGUCCACACCGUAAACGUUGGGCGCUAGGUGUGGGACUCAUUCCACGAGUUCCGUGCCGCAGCUAACGCAUU
This 497-nucleotide ribosomal RNA is filed under the name uncultured Actinomycetes bacterium. Its description in RNAcentral is "bacterial SSU rRNA". It matches the Rfam family "Bacterial small subunit ribosomal RNA", at positions 355 to 861 of the family's 1533-position model. The record is from RNAcentral. Lineage: Bacteria; Bacillati; Actinomycetota; Actinomycetes.